Molecule: long non-coding RNA, 1153 nt
Filed under: Piliocolobus tephrosceles (Ugandan red Colobus)
Lineage: Eukaryota; Metazoa; Chordata; Mammalia; Primates; Cercopithecidae
Description: lncRNA (ENSPTEG00000006499.1)
Source: RNAcentral
CGGUGAACAAACGUGUAUUAAUAUUAGUGGUUGAAAUUUUUUUUUUUUUUUUUUUACCAUUCACUUUAAUAAUGUAAGUUUUUUUUUUUUUUUUUUUUUUUCUACCAUUCACUUUAAUAAUGUAAGUUUUUUUUUUUUUUUUUUUACCUGGUAAAACCCAAAACACGGUUCCGAAAAAAUCAUUUGGGAAACAACAUCUUAAAUUGAAUAAAUUUAUAUUAAACAUUACAUAUACAUUUUUAUCUGCAUAUUUUUCUUUAAAUUUUUUAGUAUAAUAAAAAAAAUAAUUCUCCUUAUUUAUAUCGAAAUUUGCAGCAUUGUCAUUUACACUUUCAUUAUUACCUCUAUUUGUAUUACCAUUUUCAUAUUUUAAGUUUUUUUUACUCUCUAAAUCUUUUAAUAUGUAAUUCAUUUCGAACUCGGUUGAAGUACCUGCACAAAGGAGUAUAAAUAAACAUAAAACAAAAAUUAGGAAAUGUACCAUAAUAGUUGGGAGAAGCAGUAUAAUAAGAAAAUGUACCAUAACUAGGGAAAAAAAAAAAAAAACACCAUAAGAAAAAAAAAAAAAAAAAAAAAAAAAACCAUAACUAGGAAACAUAAUAAAAAUUGAAAAAGAUUGAUAUCAUGUAAAUAAUUUAAUUAAAAUAUAAAAUUGUUUAUUUAGUAUAUUACUUGCUAUAAAUAUGUUUGAAUCUGGAUAUGUUUCAAUUAUAUAUCUUGAAAAUUCUAAAUUCUCAUCACCAACAAUUAAAAUAUUAUUAUUGUUUAUUUCUUCAUCUUCUUCACUUUCCUCAUCAUCCGAUUUGUUAUCCCAAUUGUUAUAGUCUGAACUGGAAUCGUCUAAUUCGUUGUUGUUUAUACUAUGCUCAAGCAUACCUUCAUUAAUCACACCUUCAUCAAUCAUACCUUCAUCAAUCAUAUCUCCAUUAAUCAUAUCUCCAUUAAUCAUAUCUCCAUUAAUUAUAUCUCCAUUAAUUAUAUCUCCAUCAAUUAUACCUUCAUCAUCUUCACCAUGUUCAUCCAAGUUAUGAAUAUAACCAUUUUCAAACAUAAUACCCUGUUCUGUUAAGUCUUUAUUUUCUUCCAUAUCAUUAUAAACGUGCACUCCUAUUUCAUUACCCAAAUCACUAUCUACCGGCAAACUACUCGGAUC